UAUUAUUAAAUACGUAGACAAAUUGCUAGAGUAGUAAUUGUUAUGAUCUUGAAACUCAAAGAAUUUGGCGGUAUUCUAUUCCCUUCAGAGGAAUCUGUUCCGUUAUCGAUAACACACGAAUGUUUAUACUUAAUUUAUUGGUUUGUAUACCGCCGUCGUAAGUUUAUUUUUAAGAGAAAUGAAAUUUACUUGAUUUUUAAUUAAUUAAUAUGUCAGGUCAAGGUGCAGCUUAUAAUUGAGUGGAAAUGGAUUACAAUAAUAAUAAUUAUAAAUGGAUAUUUUAUUUAAAGUGGAAUUGAAGGUGGAUUUGAUUGUAAAUUAUUUAAAAUUGAU
This 333-nucleotide ribosomal RNA is filed under the name Landreva sp. n. India. Its description in RNAcentral is "partial 12S ribosomal RNA". Lineage: Eukaryota; Metazoa; Arthropoda; Insecta; Orthoptera; Gryllidae. The record is from RNAcentral.